Myotis brandtii (Brandt's bat) is the source of this 1936-nucleotide long non-coding RNA. RefSeq lists it as uncharacterized. NCBI's taxonomy places the organism in Eukaryota, Metazoa, Chordata, Mammalia, Chiroptera, Vespertilionidae. The record is from RefSeq and is a predicted model, not a curated record. The transcript is spliced from 2 exons.
CUGGGGGGCGGGACUUGAGGGAGCAUCCAAUCCCAGGCGUCCGCGAGGGGCCUCGCCUCCAGCCCCGCGCCCCAGGGACCACCCAGGCUCCCACCUUCCCAGGUCGCUCUCCAGCCGGAUCAGCUCCUCUGCUGCCCAACCUCUCCUGGACCUGUAAACUCCACCCUGACUGUCAGCCCUGAACCUGGUUUCCUAUCUCACCUUCAAGUUCAGCCACAAAACCCACAUCCCUAACCACGGCUCCACCGCAGGCUCCCCCUGUCCUCAGCUCAACCUUAGUCACCCCCCAACCGAAACCCUCUUCCCUUCCGUUCCCCACACUUCAGGGUUUCUUCGGCUCCCAAGGGUCUUGGUGGGAGGGGCUGGGUCCAGCUGUCAAGACCUCGGAGAACAAUCUUUAGAUUUUUUUUUUUAGACAUUUAAGUCUCCAACAUGGUUCUCAAAUAACAACAGUAGCUGUAUAGCUAGGGGCAUAGGAUUAAUUUGGAGCAGGGUAGCUUGUGGUAUGGCACUGUUGCCACUUAAGGGACAUUUGGGACAAUUGAGAGUGGUUAGACUCACUUCCUAAUGAAACACCUCCUUCCCCUGUCAUCGUCCCUUUCUAGUUCCUCACUACUUUCCUUUCCUUCUUAUUCUUUCUUCUUGUAGAUCUCCUGCGCCUACCUCUGACAUAGCUUACUUGGAGAAGUAGGGGAUUCGGUGGGAAGAAAAUGGGAUCUGGUGUUAGAAGAUCAGCUUUGAGUCCCACCCAGCUCUGUCACUGAUGAGCCUGGUGACUUUGGGCAAGCCACUUUCCUAUUCUGAACGUCUAUUCCCUGAGAUGUAAAAUGGGUUAUCAUGUAAUAACUCCUGAUCUCUAUUCUCAUAGAUUGUUGUGAUGAUAAAGUAAAGGGAACAUAUGAAAUGUAUAUUCUGCAAAUAUUUUUAUGGUUACUGAUCCCACGAAGACAGAGCUGAGCUAAUGAGGAUGCUGACCCUUGAUUGUAAGCAACAAGUCCUGGUAUUUACAUAAAGCGCUCUUGCAAAAUGUCCUUCUCAUCAAUCUCCAAUGAGAUGAUAUCAUUGUCUGCAUCUUGUGAUUAAUAAACUCAAUAUAUACAAAUUGAAGGGAAACCAGGAGGCAAAUUAUUAUGGAAAUAUGGAUGUCAAUCAAGUCUCAAGAUCUGGGUUUAAGAUUAGAUCCUGGAAUUUAUAUUAUUGACCUUGGAUUGGUGACUUUACAGCUCUCAGCUCCACUUCCCUCCUCAAAUAACUAAAAAUUAUUUCUGAUCUACAUCUGCUUCAUAGGGAUGUGUAAGCCUCAAAUUAAGGUCAUGUGUUUGUAAGUACCCUGUAAACUUCAAUAUGCCAGAGAUAGUUAAUAUUUGUAUAUGGCCCUAAUUAGUAAUGUUAUCUGAAGAAUCAUUCCAUAGAUACUCUAAAAAAUGCUCUUGAUUUUUUUCUUAGGUCUUAGGAAGACAGAUGUCCAGAGCGGUUCCUAUUACAUUUUAUAUUCUUUAGCCUAAAAGCUCUCUGAGACUUUCCCCUUUCUAAAUGUUAGUACUUAAAAAAAAAAAGGCAAAUUACUCUUUGCCCAUCAUCUUUCCCUUCUCUCUUACACAAUGUGUAAUACUUUCUUCUGUUGCAGGAGUCAGCAAAUGCUUUCUGUAAAGUGCCAGACAGUAAAUAUUUUAGACUUUGUGGGCAACAUAGGGUUUUGUCACAUAUCCCGUCCCAGCCUCCCUUUUCUCUUGCAACCCUUUAGCAUGUAAAAGUCAUUCUUCGUUGGAGGGGCUGUACAAACACAGGCCUGACUGAUUUUGUCUGCAGACCUGUUAUGGACUCUUAUUUUUCUGGGUUCAAGCAGGUUUUAGUUAGUUUCAGCCACUAGUGAUAAUAAUUUUCACAAAAAAGUGUCACUGGUUAGUUAAACAAAGAAAUGUUGUGUGUUAAAAAA